CUACUGCACUGCGGGACAAACAACAGUGUCUUUCGACUGGGAAGACGGAUGAAGACUUCCUUUUAAAAAAUCAUUUUUAACGGAGCAGUUUCGAAUCAGAUUAAGCCAACUUGAAACUGAAAGUAGCUGAAGGCUUGAAUUGCUGAAGAGCACAAUGAAACCAUAACAUUACCAACACCAAUGUGACAGAGCUAACAGUAGCUUUUGGGAUCAAAAGAACCAAAGAAAAGAGGAUGAGAAAAAUGGACCAGUUUUGUGAAAAAUUAAGAAGCAAUUAAAACUUGACCGAUGUCAGUUGUUUUACAAGAAAGAUGAUGAAACAAAAUGAGUCCAAGUCUGUCUGUACAUAUAACACUGACAAUAAUAUUUCCAGAUUCAAAAGCGCCCAGUUUUGGCUAAAAAGUAAUUGAAUGCAGGACAAAAAUACAUCUGCUGUUUUUAAUCAAAGCAUUUAAGAAGAUUGACACACCUUAAGACAUCCUAAAUAAAUACGAGUGUAGAUGCAUAGUUUUUGUAAUUGUAACAUUAUAAAAAAUAACGAUCAUACAUUAUUGAAAAAUGUAUUAAAGUUUAGGACAUUUAUGUUGCCGUUGCAGCCUUGUUUUAUCUCACUGAUUAACUUGUCUUUAUCUGUGCACUUGAACUCAGUGAGUCGUUUGAUUCUCACAAAUUCUAUUUUACAGUCUGUUUUUUUUUGUUUGUUUGUUUUGCAUUAGAUUUGUUUUUUCACCGUUUGUCUGACUGGAAAUUCUCCAUCUGGACAUGCAAGUUCUUGCCUGACUCUGCCUCAUUAACAUGCAUGGUUUACUUCUGGGUCCAACAUUACCUUUGUUCAUUGGCUGGCAUACUGUGGUGAUUAUUUUUUUAUUUGGCAGUUUCCUUCCACCACUACUACUACUUGGAUUACAUCCAGUUGUAUUUGUCUUUUAAUCGUGCAUUGGUGUCCUCGUGCCUAAAUUACUGUAAAACUCUUUUCACCAGUGUGACUCAAGAUAAAUCAUAAAUUUCACACCUCCUGGUUAUUCAGUAUUCAUCACUAAGACUUUUCACAAAACCCAAAGUAACAUUACACCUGCUCUUUACACUGGUUACCAGGAAACUUUAAAAUAUGUUUUAGAGUAUUCACACUCAUGGACUAAGGUCCAAAUGGCAAAGAAAUUGAUUAUCUACAUCAACUUUUAACAAAACAUGUUCCAUCUUGUAUUGAUCCCAAAGUCAGAAUUUGUUGGUUGUAGCUUAAAAGCUGCAGGAGUAUUUUAUAAGAUGCUUUAGGGACCAAAGUUUCGAAAACCUGAACACCAAUUCUGAGCUGGACUUGUUUUUAGCCCUUUAUCUCAAGAAGAUAUUCAGCAUUCUUAUACUCAACCCUAAACCACUACUACAGUAACAUUACCCUUGGUCUCACCACUUCCCUGUCACAUAUCCUUAUUCCUUCUUUGAAUUUUGUUCACAAAUUGUAAGAAAGCCACACCAACUUCCUGUGCCACAACAGAACACACUCGCCUCUUUUCGACCAAUGAGACGGUUUUAAGGAAGGAAGUGACAUUAGAUAACCUGUGGACUCAGACAGUUCAAAUUCGGAUAUCCUUACUGACAUUUAGUUUUGGAUACUGGUGGACGUGAAUUGGGGUUUUGGAUUGAAUUUUCUCAGAAAGAAGAUGUUUUAUAUUAGAUAUCAUAUGAAAGGAUAUUUGCAAACGAUUACAGUUAAACCAAAAAUAUCUUGCUAUCAACAUUCAAAGUGUUCAUAACCUCUACCUAAAAUUGAAUCUCAAUAUAUAAAAGUAUAUUUUACUUUCACAAUAAAAGUAAAAUAUACUUUUAUAUUUAACUUUUGCUAUUUUUACCAUUGCAACAACACAUCAUCAGUAGGGUAAAACUAACCUGUCUCACGACGGUCUAAACCCAGCUCACGUUCCCUAUCAGUGGGUGAACAAUCCAACGCUUGGUGAAUUCUGCUUCAUGAUGAUAGGAAGAGUUGACGUCGAAGGAUCAAAAAGCGACGUCGGUAUGAAUGCUUGGCCGCCACAAGCCAGUUAUCCCUGCGGAAACCUUUCUGACACCUCCUGCUUAAAACCCCAAAAGUCAGAAGGAUCGUGAGGCCCCGCUUUCACGGCCUGUAUUCAUACUG
Molecule: long non-coding RNA, 2131 nt
Organism: Xiphophorus maculatus (southern platyfish)
Lineage: Eukaryota; Metazoa; Chordata; Actinopteri; Cyprinodontiformes; Poeciliidae
Exons: 3
Source: RefSeq, a predicted model, not a curated record